RNAcentral lists this ribosomal RNA (468 nucleotides) under uncultured bacterium. RNAcentral describes it as "partial 16S ribosomal RNA". It matches the Rfam family "Bacterial small subunit ribosomal RNA", at positions 28 to 507 of the family's 1533-position model. The record is from RNAcentral.
GACGAACGCUGGCGGCGUGCUUAACACAUGCAAGUCGAACGGAAAGGCCCUGCUUUUGUGGGGUGCUCGAGUGGCGAACGGGUGAGUAACACGUGAGUAACCUGCCCUUGACUUUGGGAUAACUUCAGGAAACUGGGGCUAAUACCGGAUAGGAGCUCCUGCUGCAUGGUGGGGGUUGGAAAGUUUCGGCGGUUGGGGAUGGACUCGCGGCUUAUCAGCUUGUUGGUGGGGUAGUGGCUUACCAAGGCUUUGACGGGUAGCCGGCCUGAGAGGGUGACCGGCCACAUUGGGACUGAGAUACGGCCCAGACUCCUACGGGAGGCAGCAGUGGGGAAUAUUGCACAAUGGGCGGAAGCCUGAUGCAGCAACGCCGCGUGCGGGAUGACGGCCUUCGGGUUAUAAACCGCUUUCGCCUGUGACGAAGCGUGAGUGACGGUAAUGGGUAAAGAAGCACCGGCUAGCUACGUG